RNAcentral lists this ribosomal RNA (253 nucleotides) under uncultured bacterium. Its description in RNAcentral is "partial 16S ribosomal RNA". It matches the Rfam family "Bacterial small subunit ribosomal RNA", at positions 524 to 776 of the family's 1533-position model. The record is from RNAcentral.
UACGUAGGGCGCAAGCGUUGUCCGGAAUUAUUGGGCGUAAAGAGCUCGUAGGCGGUUUGUCGCGUCUGUCGUGAAAGCUUGGGGCUUAACCCCAAGUCUGCGGUGGAUACGGGCAGACUAGAGUGUGGUAGGGGAGACUGGAAUUCCUGGUGUAGCGGUGAAAUGCGCAGAUAUCAGGAGGAACACCGAUGGCGAAGGCAGGUCUCUGGGCCACUACUGACGCUGAGAAGCGAAAGCAUGGGGAGCGAACAGG